CGCGGGAUGGAGCAGUUUGGUAGCUCGUCGGGCUCAUAACCCGGAGGUCGUAGGUUCAAAUCCUGCUCCCGCAACCA
Molecule: transfer RNA, 77 nt
Filed under: Acetobacterium fimetarium
Lineage: Bacteria; Bacillati; Bacillota; Clostridia; Eubacteriales; Eubacteriaceae
Also listed under: 8 other names
Description: tRNA-Met
Rfam family: tRNA
About the family: Transfer RNA (tRNA) molecules are approximately 80 nucleotides in length.
Source: RNAcentral